This 497-nucleotide ribosomal RNA is filed under the name uncultured bacterium. RNAcentral describes it as "partial 16S ribosomal RNA". It matches the Rfam family "Bacterial small subunit ribosomal RNA", at positions 28 to 507 of the family's 1533-position model. The record is from RNAcentral.
GAUGAACGCUGGCGGCGUGCCUAAUACAUGCAAGUCGAGCGAACAGACGAGGAGCUUGCUCCUCUGACGUUAGCGGCGGACGGGUGAGUAACACGUGGAUAACCUACCUAUAAGACUGGGAUAACUUCGGGAAACCGGAGCUAAUACCGGAUAAUAUAUUGAACCGCAUGGUUCAAUAGUGAAAGACGGUUUUGCUGUCACUUAUAGAUGGAUCCGCGCCGCAUUAGCUAGUUGGUAAGGUAACGGCUUACCAAGGCAACGAUGCGUAGCCGACCUGAGAGGGUGAUCGGCCACACCGGAACUGAGAACCGGUCCAGACUCCUACGGGAGGCAGGAGGUGGGAAUUUUUCGGAAAGGGCGAAAGCCUGACGGAGCAACGCCGCGUGAGUGAUGAAGGUCUUCGGAUCGUAAAACUCUGUUAUUAGGGAAGAACAAAUGUGUAAGUAACUAUGCACGUCUUGACGGUACCUAAUCAGAAAGCCACGGCUAACUACGUG